RNAcentral lists this ribosomal RNA (409 nucleotides) under Staphylococcus aureus. Its description in RNAcentral is "partial 23S ribosomal RNA". It matches the Rfam family "Bacterial large subunit ribosomal RNA", at positions 444 to 856 of the family's 2925-position model. Lineage: Bacteria; Bacillati; Bacillota; Bacilli; Caryophanales; Staphylococcaceae. The record is from RNAcentral.
CUGGGAGGACCAUCUCCUAAGGCUAAAUACUCUCUAGUGACCGAUAGUGAACCAGUACCGUGAGGGAAAGGUGAAAAGCACCCCGGAAGGGGAGUGAAAUAGAACCUGAAACCGUGUGCUUACAAGUAGUCAGAGCCCGUUAAUGGGUGAUGGCGUGCCUUUUGUAGAAUGAACCGGCGAGUUACGAUUUGAUGCAAGGUUAAGCAGUAAAUGUGGAGCCGUAGCGAAAGCGAGUCUGAAUAGGGCGUUUAGUAUUUGGUCGUAGACCCGAAACCAGGUGAUCUACCCUUGGUCAGGUUGAAGUUCAGGUAACACUGAAUGGAGGACCGAACCGACUUACGUUGAAAAGUGAGCGGAUGAACUGAGGGUAGCGGAGAAAUUCCAAUCGAACCUGGAGAUAGCUGGUUCU